This 497-nucleotide ribosomal RNA is filed under the name uncultured bacterium. RNAcentral's name for it is "partial 16S ribosomal RNA". It matches the Rfam family "Bacterial small subunit ribosomal RNA", at positions 28 to 507 of the family's 1533-position model. The record is from RNAcentral.
GAUGAACGCUGGCGGCGUGCCUAAUACAUGCAAGUCGAGCGAACAGACGAGGAGCUUGCUCCUCUGACGUUAGCGGCGGACGGGUGAGUAACACGUGGAUAACCUACCUAUAAGACUGGGAUAACUUCGGGAAACCGGAGCUAAUACCGGAUAAUAUAUUGAACCGCAUGGUUCAAUAGUGAAAGACGGUUUUGCUGUCACUUAUAGAUGGAUCCGCGCCGCAUUAGCUAGUUGGUAAGGUAACGGCUUACCAAGGCAACGAUGCGUAGCCGACGUGAGAGGGUGAUCGGCCACACUGGAACUGAGACACGGUCCAGACUCCUGCGGGAGGCAGCAGUAGGGAAUCUUCCGCAAUGGGCGAAAGCUUGACGGAGCAACGCCGCGUGAGUGAUGAAGGUCUUCGGAUCGUAAAACUCUGUUAUUAGGGAAGAACAAAUGUGUAAGUAACUAUGCACGUCUUGACGGUACCUAAUCAGAAAGCCACGGCUAACUACGUG